CCUACGGGGGGCAGCAGUGGGGAAUAUUGCACAAUGGGCGCAAGCCUGAUGCAGCCAUGCCGCGUGUGUGAAGAAGGCCUUCGGGUUGUAAAGCACUUUCAGCGGGGAGGAAGGCGUUAAGGUUAAUAACCUUGGCGAUUGACGUUACCCGCAGAAGAAGCACCGGCUAACUCCGUGCCAGCAGCCGCGGUAAUACGGAGGGUGCAAGCGUUAAUCGGAAUUACUGGGCGUACAGCGCACGCAGGCGGUCUGUCAAGUCGGAUGUGAAAUCCCCGGGCUCAACCUGGGAACUGCAUUCGAAACUGGCAGGCUAGAGUCUUGUAGAGGGGGGUAGAAUUCCAGGUGUAGCGGUGAAAUGCGUAGAGAUCUGGAGGAAUACCGGUGGCGAAGGCGGCCCCCUGGACAAAGACUGACGCUCAGGUGCGAAAGCGUGGGGAGCAAACAGGAUUAGAUACCCCGGUAGUC
Molecule: ribosomal RNA, 465 nt
Filed under: uncultured Klebsiella sp.
Lineage: Bacteria; Pseudomonadati; Pseudomonadota; Gammaproteobacteria; Enterobacterales; Enterobacteriaceae
Description: bacterial SSU rRNA
Rfam family: Bacterial small subunit ribosomal RNA
Source: RNAcentral